ACUCCUGCGGGAGGCAGCAGUGGGGAAUAUUGCACAAUGGGCGCAAGCCUGAUGCAGCCAUGCCGCGUGUAUGAAGAAGGCCUUCGGGUUGUAAAGUACUUUCAGCGGGGAGGAAGGCAAUACGGUUAAUAACCGUGUUGAUUGACGUUACCCGCAGAAGAAGCACCGGCUAACUCCGUGCCAGCAGCCGCGGUAAUACGGAGGGUGCAAGCGUUAAUCGGAAUUACUGGGCGUAAAGCGCACGCAGGCGGUCUGUCAAGUCGGAUGUGAAAUCCCCGGGCUCAACCUGGGAACUGCAUUCGAAACUGGCAGGCUUGAGUCUUGUAGAGGGGGGUAGAAUUCCAGGUGUAGCGGUGAAAUGCGUAGAGAUCUGGAGGAAUACCGGUGGCGAAGGCGGCCCCCUGGACAAAGACUGACGCUCAGGUGCGAAAGCGUGGGGAGCAAACAGGAUUAGAUACCCUUGUAGUCCCAUGA
This 474-nucleotide ribosomal RNA is filed under the name uncultured organism. RNAcentral's name for it is "partial 16S ribosomal RNA". It matches the Rfam family "Bacterial small subunit ribosomal RNA", at positions 335 to 800 of the family's 1533-position model. The record is from RNAcentral.